AGAGUUUGAUCCUGGCUCAGAUUGAACGUUGGCGGCAGGCCUCAUACAUGCAAGUCGAACGAGAAAGCGCCUUCGGGCGCGAUUACAGUGGCGGACGGGUGAGUAACGCGUAGGAAUCUGCCCGGCGGCAGGGGACAACUCGGGGAAACUCGAGCUAAUACCGUAUAACAUCCCAACCUUUUUGGGCGGGAUCAAAGGGGGCCUCUCCUUGGAAGCUCCCGCUGCCGGAGGAGCCUGCGUUGGAUUAGCUUGUUGGUGGGGUAACGGCUCACCAAGGCUGCGAUCCAUAGCUGGUCUGAGAGGACGAUCAGCCACACUGGAACUGAGACACGGUCCAGACUCCUACGGGAGGCAGCAGUAGGGAAUUUUGGGCAAUGGGCGCAAGCCUGACCCAGCCAUGCCGCGUGUGCGAAGAAGGCUCUAGGGUUGUAAAGCACUUUCAGUGGCGAAGAAAAGCCCGGGGUUAACACCUCCGGGUCUUGACGUUAACCACAGAAGAAGCACCGGCUAACUCCGUGCCAGCAGCCGCGGUAAUACGGAGGGUGCGAACGUUAAUCGGAAUUACUGGGCGUAAAGGGCGCGUAGGCGGUUCGGCAAGUGGAUUGUGAAAGCCCCGGGCUCAACCUGGGAAUUGCAGUCCAAACUGCUGGACUAGAGUAUGGUAGAGGGAGGUAGGAUUUCCUGUGUAGCGGUGAAAUGCGUAGAUAUAGGAAGGAAUACCGAUGGCGAAGGCAGCCUCCUGGACCAAUACUGACGCUGAGGUGCGAAAGCGUGGGUAGCAAACAGGAUUAGAUACCCUGGUAGUCCACGCCGUAAACGAUGAGAACUGGCCGUUGGAGCCUUCGGGCCUUAGUGGCGCAGCUAACGCGAUAAGUUCUCCGCCUGGGGAGUACGGCCGCAAGGUUAAAGCUCAAAUGAAUUGACGGGGGCCCGCACAAGCGGUGGAGCAUGUUGUUUAAUUCGAUGCAACGCGAAGAACCUUACCAUCCCUUGACAUCCCCGGAACUGCUUGGAGACAGGCGGGUGCCUUCGGGAACCGGGU
RNAcentral lists this ribosomal RNA (1042 nucleotides) under uncultured bacterium. RNAcentral's name for it is "bacterial SSU rRNA". It matches the Rfam family "Bacterial small subunit ribosomal RNA", at positions 8 to 1032 of the family's 1533-position model. The record is from RNAcentral.